ACUCGAGUUAGGGCAGUAGAGGAGUUCAUCUUUUUGGGCGUCCAUUUUUCAGGGAGUUCUUUCGACCUGCACUUCUUUGUGUUCAUAGAAAACUAGAGAAUAGAUCUUGGCAGAGCUGGGCACAAAUGACUAUGUCUCCUUGAAUUUUUUUCACUUCUUCUGGGAGACGAAGUUAGUCUUCUAUAAAUGGCACGUCAGGGAUUUGCCACUGCGAGACAAAGUUAGUCUUCUGUAAUUAGCACGUUAAGAAUUCGCCACAGUGGUGCUGGGCAAGGGUGCGACAAGGAUUGGUGGUAUUGACGUGGGUUGUACAAGGGUUUGUGGCAGUGGCACAAAGAGGAAACAUUAGUUUAGGCACAUCAGGGAUUGGUGGCAGCAGUGUGGGUUGGACAAGGGUUCGGUGGGAACAACACUAACACGAAAGGUCCCAUUUGUGAAAUUCUUCACCCUGUACAUGGUGCAAUGGCAUACACAUACACUUCUGGCAAUAGGAGGAGGUUGCUGCAUACUUUAGCAGAGUGCAACCAAGAGGUUGCACUAUUGCAUCUCCUGGAAAAUGACAUGAUCGAGACUAUUUUGGAGAGGAUGAUUCCUUGAUUGACCCUUAGGUGGUGUGUGUGUGUGGAUAGAAAUUAUGAAAGGGAUGCGACAUAUUUCAUCCACAUUGAUGAGGCCUUUUUUUCCUUCAUCUUGGGAGAGGCAACCAUAUAUAUAGGGUACUAUGGCCUAUAUAUUUGGCCUUUAUCUACUCGCCAAUCACUCUCCCAUGGGUUCACAUCAUGUGCACUACCACAUACCCAAGGAGGGGACGGGUCUGAGUGCCACAUCACAAUGAUGACAUCGACGAUGUCAAUCGCCUUUUUCCUUCCAAUCGUAUGGUUUUGGACUGUAGGCAUCUUUUCACGGGAUAUAACAAUGCUCACCCACCACUGAGGUUUGCUAGGAUUCAGAGUAGAUUUUCGUCACAGAGGAGGUAUUCUCCAUAAAAUUGUAUAACAGUAGCUAUAUGACUGAUUUUUAUCAAACAAUCGAAAUUUAUGUUUAUAGAGUUGAUCUUGGUA
This is a long non-coding RNA of Cryptomeria japonica (Japanese cedar), 1061 nucleotides long. RefSeq lists it as uncharacterized. The record is from RefSeq and is a predicted model, not a curated record. The transcript is spliced from 5 exons. Lineage: Eukaryota; Viridiplantae; Streptophyta; Pinopsida; Cupressales; Cupressaceae.